This 571-nucleotide small RNA is filed under the name Pan troglodytes (chimpanzee). Its description in RNAcentral is "processed transcript". The record is from RNAcentral. Lineage: Eukaryota; Metazoa; Chordata; Mammalia; Primates; Hominidae.
CCCAUUGGUGCCUGACGGGUUGGUUAGGGCGGCUUUUCUUCCGGCUGUGACAAAUCCAGCCUGAGGAGCGCUCCUGUGUCUUUCUUAGUUGUUUCUUCCCGCCCACCUGCCCCUCAAAGCCACGACCCACUUGCACGCCACCGUGUGGACACCUAAAAGCGACCGUCUAGAUCUGAACCGCGCUGAGGGAAUGGUCAGCUUCUCUCCCAUUAGAUGGCUUGGCCCAAAGGACCUAGCGACUGCCCAGACAAAAAUUUCUUCUGACAUGCUGCAUGUGUCUGUGGUCUCUAAGACUCAAAACCAAAGCCAAAAGAAAAAGACAACCCCGCCCCCCGCGAAACAACAACAACAACAACAAACACCACCACCAACCCACCUUUCACGUGAGGAGUCCUUGAGAAGGGCCUCUCCAGCCAGAACCAGACGGAGUUUCGGUCUUGCCGCCCAGGCUGGAGGGGAGUGGCGCGAUCUCGGCUCACUGCAAUCUCCACCUCCCGGGUUCAAACGAUUCUCCUGCAUCAGCCUCCGGAGUAGAUGGGAUUACAGGCGCACGCCACCACGCCCGGCUACA